UAGCCGUAAACGAUACUCGCUAGGUGUCGGCCACGGUGCGACCGUUGUCGGUGCCGUAGGGAAGCCGUGAAGCGAGCCACCUGGGAAGUACGGCCGCAAGGCUGAAACUUAAAGGAAUUGGCGGGGGAGCACCACAACGGGUGGAGCUUGCGGUUUAAUUGGAUUCAACGCCGGAAAUCUUACCGGGACCGACAGCAACAUGAAGGCCAAGCUGAAGACUUUGCCGGAUUAGCUGAGAGGUGAUGCAUGGCGUCAGUGACU
Molecule: ribosomal RNA, 261 nt
Filed under: uncultured archaeon
Lineage: Archaea
Description: partial 16S ribosomal RNA
Rfam family: Archaeal small subunit ribosomal RNA
Source: RNAcentral